UACGAAGGGGGCGAGCGUUGUUCGGAUUUACUGGGCGUAAAGGGCGCGCAGGCGGCCAUUUUUGUCAGGCGUGAAAGCCCCGGGCUCAACCUGGGAAUUGCGAUGAAGACUGCAAGGCUUGAAUCUGGCAGAGGGGGGUAGAAUUCCACGUGUAGCAGUGAAAUGCGUAGAGAUGUGGAGGAACACCGAUGGCGAAGGCAGCCCCCUGGGUCAAGAUUGACGCUCAUGCACGAAAGCGUGGGGAGCAAACAGG
Molecule: ribosomal RNA, 253 nt
Filed under: uncultured bacterium
Lineage: Bacteria
Description: partial 16S ribosomal RNA
Rfam family: Bacterial small subunit ribosomal RNA
Source: RNAcentral